GAAUUCAUUCUGUCUCCGUACCUCCACCUACAAAGUUAAAACAAAACCACGGCAUCCCAGCUUCGAUCGCCUUAAUAUUAGCUGCUACAAACGUACCUGAAAACCAAAACAAAUAUUAAUGCAAUUAUAACAACAAACUUAAUACUUACCUCCAGAAUAAUCGCAAACUUUAAAAACCCAAUUCCUUGGCAUCCCAGUUGCGUCGGCCUUAAUAUUAGCUGCUACAAACGUACCUGGAAAAUUAAACAAAUAUAAAAGCAAUUAAAACAACAAACGUAAUACUUACCUCCAGAAUAAUCGCAAACGUAAAGAAAUCAAAACCAAGGGAUCCCAGCAGCGACGGCCUCAAUAUGAACUGCAACAAAUGUACCUGAAAACAAAAACAAAUAUUAAUUCAAUUAUAACAACAAACUUAAUACUUACCUUCAGAUUAACUGCAAACUUAAAUAACCCAAAACCACGGCAUCCCAGCUGCGACGGCCUAAAUAAGAGUUGCUACAACUGUACCUUAAAACAAAAACAAAUAUUAAAUAUAAAUUAUAACAAAUAGCUUAAUAUUUACCUCCAGAUCAACCGCAAACUUGAAGAACUCAAAACCACGGCAUCCCAGCUUCGAUCGCCUUAAUAUUAGCUGCUACAAAUGUACCUGAAAACCAAAAACAAAUAUUAAUGCAAUUAUAACAACAAACUUAAUACUUACCUCCAGAUUAAUCGCAAACUUUAAAAACCCAAUUCCUUGGCAUCCCAGUUGCGUCGGCCAUAAUAUCAGCUGCUACAAACGUACCUGGAAAAUUAAACAAAUAUAAAAGCAAUUAAAACAACAAACGUAAUACUUACCUCCAGAAUAAUCGCAAACGUAAAGAAAUCAAAACCAAGGGAUCCCAGCAGCGUCGGCCUCAAUCUGAGCUGCAACAAAUGUACCUGAAAACAAAAACAAAUAUUAAUUCAAUUAUAACAACAAACUUAAUUUAAUGCAAUUUAAAACAAACAUAAUACCCACCUUCAGAAUAGCCGACCUGAAAAAUAUACCUGAAAAACAACAAAUAAUGCAACUAUAUAAAUAAACAAAUACAAAUAUAAUACUUACCUCCAAAAACCGUCCAGCCUAGGCACCUGAAAAAUACAAAGGGAAAAAAAAAUAAAAUACCAGCAGCAACAACAGCAACGACGCAGCCGCCACCGGCAGCGGCAAUAGCAGCGACGCAGCCACCACCAGCAGCGACGCAGCCACCACCAGCAGCGACGCAGGCACCACCAGCAGCGACGCAGGCACCACCAGCAGUGACGCAGGCACCACCAGCAGCGACGCAGUCACCACCAACAGCAACAACAGCAGCGACGCGGACGCCACCAGCAGCGACGCAGCCACCACCACCAGCAGCAGCAGCAGCUACGUAGUCACCUUCAGCAACAACAACAGCAGCGACGCUUUCACCACCAACAGCAACAGCGGCGGCGACGCAACCACCACCAUAAGCAACAACAGCAGCGGCGGCAGCGACAGCAGUAGCAGGGAAUGGCUUCGGCCUCAGUCGCAUACCUUGCCAAUCGGUUGGACUUACGAAGUAUGAGACGUCGAUUAUCCUGCGGACAAAUCCUUCCUUCCGGAUGCCUGAAUAUUUUGUCGAGCCAGCUGAUCAUUGUUUUUCCGACUCCAUACCUGACCACUGGACAAUCAUCCUGGACAACAAUCACCGGCGAUUCAAAUCUGGAAGAAAGAAAUCUGGAUCAGUUUGUUUCCUUCAGAUUUGUAUGUAACUGCAUCCCUGACAAACCGGAGCGUUUCCAUCAGACGACGCUGGACUGCGGCGCAUUUUUCCACCCGCCACAGAAUGGACGCUUGCAUAAGGCCUGACGGGCCAGAUGGGCCGAUGCCUGGUACACGAUGGCAUCUCCGCGGUGGCGCGAUGAGCAGCGACGCUGAAAGAAAUAAUAAUAUUUAGUUUGCGUAGUGAGACCAGCUACCGAGAAUGACCUGGAAUACCGGCUAACGCGAAGCAGGGUAUCGAUAAAGAUUCUGGCGGGAAAAAUGCCAGAACAUCGAUUACCAGCUAUAUUGCUUUUACCCCCGAUUUAUCGAAGCCCAGGAGUAGUGAGACCAGCUACUGACAAUGACCAAUGACAUCGGCCAACGCGAAGCGAUAUAUCGGUUACCAUUCUGACGGGAAAAUCGCCAGAACGCCGAUUACUAGCCGUGUUUUUUCCCUCCGAUUUAUCGAAGUCCAAUAGCCCGCCUAGGCUUCCCGACCAAAACGGCGCGUCAGUGGUGAUUAAAAAUCCGACAGAGGCACCAGUGCAACAGCUACCCAAAGUGAACAAGACGGAACGGCAUACAAAAUGGACGGACACAAUGGAAACCAAAGUGAAGGAUGGGCAACUGUGCUAUCUAUCUCCUCGGACGAUAGCAACUGCUCGUCGUCGCCGCCAUCAGCCAGAGUCUCAUCGCUGGAAUCCUAUGCCACAUCAAUUUAAUUUAGAAUAUACAUCCACCCAAAACUGUUUCCCACUAAUACUACAAAUUUUCUCUCAUAAAAUUACUUAAACUUAAAACUACUACUACUUAUAAAUAUUUUUAACUACCGUAAGCUAAGGCUACUUAACGUAAAAUCCUAACUUAAAUCAGGGCGCGGAUAACUGCUGCCAAGCAAAUCAAAAUUGUCCUCGAAAUUGUAAUCCUUAAAUAACUAUCAUAGCCAAGGCGCGCACAACUGCCGCCGAUCCAAAAAUGUAAAAUGCCAUAAAUUGUAACUAUAUAUUUUUAAAACAAAAAUCAGA
Long non-coding RNA from Drosophila simulans, 2775 nucleotides. RefSeq lists it as uncharacterized. The record is from RefSeq and is a predicted model, not a curated record. The transcript has 2 exons. Lineage: Eukaryota; Metazoa; Arthropoda; Insecta; Diptera; Drosophilidae.